This is a long non-coding RNA of Canis lupus familiaris (dog), 749 nucleotides long. RefSeq lists it as uncharacterized. The record is from RefSeq and is a predicted model, not a curated record. The transcript has 3 exons. NCBI's taxonomy places the organism in Eukaryota, Metazoa, Chordata, Mammalia, Carnivora, Canidae.
GAUUCAGUAAAGGUCUUCCUCACCAAAGCAGAUGGGGAUCAUCCAACACUUUGAGGGCCCGAUCAGAACAAAAAGUUAGAGGGAAAGUGAAUUUACUCUUUGCUUGAGUUGGGACAUCCAUGUUCUGCUCUCGACACCAGUGCUCCUACUUCUCAGGCCUUUGGACACAGACUAAGUUAUAUCAGCAGCUUUCCUGGUUCUCCAGCUUGCAGACAGCAGACCGUGAGAAUCCUCCUUCUCCUUAAUCAUUGAUUGGUUCAGUGGAGGCAUCUGACCUGAGCUGCUUCGAUCAGACUGAAACCUAAAGAUUUUCUGUGGAUUGUGGACAAAUUCAGUCUUUCUUCUAUCCUGAAUAUACUGAAGAAAAGUGGAAGCCCUAGAAGCCUGGGAUCACCAGUGAGGUCACCCCCGCGCAGGCCUCGGCUCGAGCAGUCCUGCUGAGCUGAACGAGAAAUACAGCGCCAGGGGCCUGCGGCCUGCAGACGUGAGCACGGGGACCAACCUGCUCUGCAAUCUGCUGACCUCAGGUCUCGCCUUCAUUCCCACGAGUUCUAAUGCAUGGGGUGGAGCCUGGGGGGUCUGGGUUCUUCUCCUCUUGAAGAAGCAUCACUUAGUGCAAGAGCCACAGGACGGGGAAGAGCAGCGAGCAAGUCGGCAGUAGCUGCUUCAAAAGAUCCAGCCCCAGAGGGGCCCAGCCAGGAGGCAGGCUCUUCCAUGAUCUGUCCCCCCAGCGAGUCAGAAGCUCCAGA